Molecule: ribosomal RNA, 464 nt
Filed under: uncultured bacterium
Lineage: Bacteria
Description: bacterial SSU rRNA
Rfam family: Bacterial small subunit ribosomal RNA
Source: RNAcentral
CCAGACUCCUACGGGAGGCAGCAGUGAGGAAUAUUGGUCAAUGGGCGCAAGCCUGAACCAGCCAAGUCGCGUGAGGGAAGACGGCCCUACGGGUUGUAAACCUCUUUUGCCGGGGAGCAAGCCUGAGCACGUGUGCCCAGGCGGAGAGUACCCGGAGAAAAAGCAUCGGCUAACUCCGUGCCAGCAGCCGCGGUAAUACGGAGGAUGCGAGCGUUAUCCGGAUUUAUUGGGUUUAAAGGGUGCGCAGGCGGGAGAUCAAGUCAGCGGUAAAAUGUCGGGGCUCAACCCCGGCCGGCCGUUGAAACUGGUUUUCUAGAGUUGGAGAGAAGUAUGCGGAAUUCGUGGUGUAGCGGUGAAAUGCAUAGAUAUCACGAAGAACUCCGAUUGCGAAGGCAGCAUACCGGCUCCAUACUGACGCUGAGGCACGAAAGCGUGGGGAUCGAACAGGAUUAGAUACCCCGGUA